AAUGCUGGGCGAAGGCUCCGAGCCACGAGACCCCCGCCUCCUGUCCCGGGACCCACCCAGGCGGAGGCAAGGGCAGGGGCGCUGGGGGCCCAGAGAGAGGGCGCCGCGAUGGAUGAAUGAGCUGUUUCCAGCAUUCCUGCUGAAUAUGAAGGCAACUCGGACUAAGAAGACGACUGCUUUCCAACUGCCCUCCCGUCCUGCAGCCGCCUGAUUUGAGGAAGGGGCUGGGAUCCUUCCCCUUGCCCUCUGGUUGUUCUUGGAGUUACAGCAGCCCCGCGGCAGCUCUGCCCCCUAGUGCACAUGUGAGGCAGCGCGCCCUUCUCCAAUCCAGAAGCCUCGUCGCGGUGCUGCCAGCAAGGGAGUUUUUCUGUAUUCACUUUGGUGGAAAUAGCAAAACUUGACAGAAAAAAAACCCAAGCCAAACCAAAACACACGAACCAUUCUAGCCUUUUCUCUCUUUCGUUUCUUUCUGAGGAUCUGGCCGAUUUGGAUGCAGAAAACAUGCCUGUUGCUUCUGCUGCGAAAUCUGCUCUUUCUCUUCCUGCUAUCGGAACCCUGUCCCUUCUUUCAAAGCCUAAUUCAGGCCAGGCGCGGUGGCUCACGCCUGUAAUCCCAGCACUUUGGGAGGCCGAGACAGACGGAUCACUUGAGGUCAAGAGUUUGAGACCAGCCUGGCCAAAAUGGUGAAACCCUGUCUCUACUAAAAAUACAAAAAUUAGCUGGACAUGGUAGCACACGCCUGUAAUCCCAGCUACUCGGGAGGCUGAGGCAGGAGAAUCACUUGAACCCGAGAGACGGAGGUUACAGUGAGCUGAUAUCAGGCCACUGCACUCCAGCCUGGGUGACAGAGUGAGACUCCAUCUCAAAAAAAAAAAAAAAAAAGCCUAUUUCAAAUUCCACCCCUUGCCUAAAAACUUUUCCUGACUUCUGACUUUCCUCUCCUAUGCGUCUUUUUUAUUUUUUAUUUUUGAGCUGGAGUCUCACUGUGUCACCCAGGCUGGAGUGCAGUGUCGCAAUCUCCGCUCACUGCAACCUCCGCCUCUGGGGUUCAAGCAGUUCUGCCUCAGCCUCCCGAGUAGCUGGGAUUACAGCCACCCGCCACCAUGCCUGGCUGAUUUUUUGUAUUUUUAGUAGAGACGGGGUUUCAUCAUGUUUGUCAGGCUGGUCUCGAACUCCUAACCUCAAGUGAUCCACCCGCCUUGGCCUCCCAAAGUGCUGGGAUUACAGGCAUGAGCCACCGCGCCCAGCCAUCCUAUAUGUCUUUUGAAAUAUGGCUGUACACAGGCUCAGCACACAGUGUGCACUUAUAUACUGUAUUUCUUUAUUGGGGUCCAAGUCUGUGCAUCUUUUGUGUUCACAGACCCCAGGGUGCCCAGCACAGGGCUGGGGACACAAACUGCUCUCAAUAAGCCCCUGUUUAUUAAUUAAUUGAUUAGCUUCCACAGAAACAACUGAGGUUUUGCUUCAAUAAACCUUGCAGAACUCUUAGUUCUUUAGGGACUCUGGAUAGUGAUCUAAUCAAAUAUGGCCUUGCACAGUAAGUCAUUUCACAAAGCAAUUUCACAAGAGAACACUAACAUCACCCAGAGUGGGAUGAGGAAGUCUGAAAUUUGAAGUGGACUCUCAGAAAGAUGAGGAAGGUGGCGGUGCUGUAGACAGGUCAAAGGACAAUGACUUAGGAGAGGUGGGUCUCUGCUUCUGGGAUAGAAGACGCAGCACGGGCCCUAGAGUUAGCUUCAUAUCCAGACUCUACCACUUGCUGUAUGUCCCUGGGCAAGUUUACUCUUCUCUCUGUGCCUCAGUUUUCUCCUCUGUAAAAAAAGGCCGGGCAUGGUGGCUCCUGCCUGUAAUCCCAGCACUUUGGGGGGCCAAGGUGGGCGGAUCACCAGCGGUCAGGAGCUUGAGACGAGCCUGGACAACAUGGUGAAAACCCAUCUCUACUAUAAAUACAAAAAUUAGCAAGGUGUGGUGGCACGCGCCUGUAGUCCCAGCUACUCUGGAGACUGAGGCAGGAAAAAUCGCUUGAACUCAGGAGGCAGAGGUUGCAGUGAGCCAAGAUCGCACCACUGCAGUCCAGCCUGGGUGACUGAGCAAGACUCCGUCUCCAAAAAAAAAAAAAAAAAAAAAAGUACCUAUCUCAUAGUGAUACAAUGAGGGUGAAUUAGCUGGUAUUUGUAAAGUGCUAAAGCAACACCUUGCACCUCGUAAGUACCAUGUAACUGUUUGUAAAUGAAUUUUCCAGCUUAGCUGUCUUGUCAUUGGAAUGGGGAUUGAUUAUAUGUUCUCUUGGUUCCCUCGAGCAGUGACCUUUCAGGGCAGUGCAUAAGCUUUGGGGUCAGGCAGGUCUGGGUUGACUCCUAUCUUUGUCGGUAGUUGUGUGACUUUGCACAGAUAACUUCUCGGAACCUCAGUGUUCUUAUCUGUGAAAUGGGAAUAAUUGUGUCUACUUCAAAAGACUGUUGUGGGUAUUGCAUGUUUGUAAUGUGCCUGGCACAGAAGGAGUGUAAUAAACAGAAGCUAUAGU
RNAcentral lists this long non-coding RNA (2524 nucleotides) under Homo sapiens (human). Its description in RNAcentral is "HSALNT0378007". Lineage: Eukaryota; Metazoa; Chordata; Mammalia; Primates; Hominidae. The record is from RNAcentral.